This 66-nucleotide transfer RNA is filed under the name Themus regalis. RNAcentral describes it as "tRNA-His". Lineage: Eukaryota; Metazoa; Arthropoda; Insecta; Coleoptera; Cantharidae. The record is from RNAcentral.
AUUUAAAUAGUUUAAUAAAAAAAAUAUUGAUUUGUGGAAUCAAAGUUGUAAAUUUUACUUUAAAUA